Molecule: long non-coding RNA, 3455 nt
Filed under: Citrus maxima (pomelo)
Lineage: Eukaryota; Viridiplantae; Streptophyta; Magnoliopsida; Sapindales; Rutaceae
Description: long non-coding RNA (CMAX_LNC001918)
Source: RNAcentral
UUGGACUCCCCUUCGGCUUCACAUGGCCAGCCCUAAUUUCUUAAUCCAAACCUAAUCACACACAAAUACACAAUCACGCUGCCUACAAUAGAUUUGGUCAUCUGCUGUGCUGCUUGCCGACAACAAAUUGCUGCUCUUCGUCUUCGUCUUCGUCCUCAUCCCCGAUCUCUAGCUUGCUGGCUAUUCCCAUUUCCUUUUGUUUCGCAACUUAAUGGUUGUUGCCGGUAGCCUGCUACCUUCUUCAACUCCGAGCUAUAGCUAAUGCCUUCUUAAUUUAGAUUUUCUUCAAGUUCGAGUUGCUGCUACUGUAUUCUUUUGUGAGAGGUAAGCUGAUGGGUUCUUUCAUUUGUACACUAGGGUUUGGGGUUCUCUGAUCAGAAUAUAUCGGCUGGUCUGGUGAUUGCUCAACCGCCGUCGAUUUUUGAGGUGCCGCCCAGGUUGAGCCCCGCAAUUCUACUUGACUCGCUAAAUUUCAGUUUGUUUUCGCCUACACAGGUAAUUCAAUUUAACUUUGUCUGACCUAAAGUUUCUUCAUUUAUUCAUUAGAUUUUAGCUUGUUUAGGAAAGCUUUCAUUUUUAUUGGGUUUCGCAUUUAAAUGCUAAUAAUCCUUGGGUUUGAAUUUUGAUUUUUUUUUUUUUGGAGGGAUGGAAAAUUUUCUUCAUUGCCUUGAUUUGUUAGCAGUCGGUUGGAAUUUUGAAUUAGAGCUUGCUGAAGCAUUUAUUAUAGAAUUUAUAAAUGUGCCCUGUAAUUGGGAUAAAAACUCUUGACUUAAUUAAUCUGACAGAAGAACAUUUUGAGCAAUGUUGUAAUGUGAUUGUGCAUUGCUGAGAUAAUCUCAUCUUGUUUUGGUAUUCUAAGUAUCCAAAUGGACUGGAUAGUAGGCUAUCCAGGUCAAGUUUUAAUGGUAAUUGGGCAUUUUUCUUUCCUGAUUUUAGUUUCAUCUCUUUUUAGAUGAAGCAUAUGGUUAAUGCAAACAAUUAACGAAAGAAAAGCUCUUGGUAUUACUAGUGUUGGAGAUCCAAUUGUCUUCAUGUAAACUGUGAACACUUUUAACUCCCAUAUCUAAGAUAUAAAGAUCUUGAUGUAGCUUUAAGCCAAAUAUGUGAGAAAUUCUCCAAUCUAGUCACAACUUUAUUAGCAACCAAGAAUGAAAGAGUAUUAGCUUCCAGUUAUAAUUUGAUGACCGGAGCUUGAAUGAGUGAGUGAUAACUUGUAUUGUCUAUAUUGCUUUGUAUGUCAUGCCUCACUGGCAUUAUGUUACUUGGGUAUCCAAAUUUUGCGUUUAUCUAUUACUAAUUUUCCUGAUUCAUUGGAUGCAACCUAGGGAGCCUUUAGAAUGAAGCACUAGCAGGCCCUAGCACAGGUCACUGCCCAAGCUGUACAAGCUGAAUCUCAUACACAAAGCCUUGUUGAAUAUCAAUGUUGUUAACACACUGAAUAAUUUCCUCUGUGACUUCAAGGUUUUAAUCAAAUUUAGAGGUAUAUGUGGUUCUCAAACCCAUUACAAUUGACUGGUACUUGUGUUUUUUUUUUAUUAGAAAGAUAUCUUCUGCAAAAACUUUAUGAAAUUCACUUUUGGAAAUGCAAAUGCUUUGUGUGGUGGUACUUGCAUUUAUUUGCUUGGUCUUCUACCAUUUCAGUCAAAUGAUUUAUUUUGACUCGUGCUUAUGACUAACUUGUUGAUAGAGAAACUAGGCUGUUUAUGGAUGUAUUAAUGUGCAUCCUAUGAUUUUUCUCUUAAUUGACAUGUUGAACUUUUUGGAAGAAUAUUUUUUUUUCAAUUUGAUUUGUCACAUAUUGUGCUAUGUUAAUUGGAAAUGUUUUGGUUUGUGGUCCAUGUUGCACUUACUAGUCCUCAGUACUUGGUGGUCCUUUAGCAUCAUAAAUUAAAUUGGAUGCAUUUAAAGCAUCCAUUGCGUAGCAUUAUCACACUAAAGGGUCUCAUCUAGUUAGAAUAUUUUUUCUGCUUAUUUCCUCCAGAAGAGACAUUAUAUAAGAGUAUAUAGAUUCAAUCCUAAUUGGACAAUCAGAGUUGGUGACUAGGUAAACUAGUCGGGCAAAGAAUGGUCUUGCAAAGCUAAAUUGAAGAUGUAAUUUUGGAAAAAUUGAAACAGCUGGUCCAUAAAUAAUGAUACUUUUGCUCCUAAGAACCAAGAGAUUCCAGCCUAUCUAUCUUUUUUUGGUUUUUGUAUAUAUAUAACUCAUGAGAUUUAUAAUUUUUCAUUAUCAUGUUAACCCCUGGUCUGGACUGUCCUAAUAUUUAAACUUCUUUCCACCAUUUUCAAUUCUUAAAUUGACCAAUAUUUAUCUCAAUGUGUCCCUUUACUUGCCCAUUGAAUUUUGCAUCAAGGAUCUGAUGUGGUAGAAGAGAAGCUAACAAUUUAUGCGCUCGACAAUGUCUUUGCCUUUUGAAUUGAUUGAGAGAUCAUCAUUUCUUCACCCACUGGAAACUUUAGAUUAUGCUUUACGCUUUAGGCUUAGACUGAUAUUAGUGUUGGCAAGCCUACAAUCAUGGUAUUAAAGUUGGUAGAUUGAGGAGAUUCUGGUGAUUCCAGAAUUUUCUACAUUUUCUCUUUAUCUUUUGGAUUUUUAGAACUUUUUCCUUUCUUUUUAUUAGCUUGAUUUUGAUGGAUUUUAUUUAAUUAUAUAUGGAAGGUUAGAUGUUGUGCAUUAAUUAAAUUGUAGUCUUGAAAAAAUACUCUUUAAAAAAAUUCAUCUAGAAAUUUAGAAUUGAAAUCUGUAGAAUGCUAGACUAAAAGUUCUCUUCUCGUCUUUGGCAUUGCACUUGGUUUUAUAUUUCUCUUUACUAUGUACUCUGUUGCAAAAUAUUUUGUUUAUACUUAAUCUUUUAUAAUCCAGCAACUCUUAUGAAGACCUAGUCAACUGUCACUGCUACAUAAGCAUUCAGGUUAUGCUGCUUUAUCAUCAUUUUUAUUUUCUUCCCUUUUUCUCUUUUACAGCUUGUGAGCUUACUGCUUCAUUAUGUCAAUUGUCGAAUGUGAUUUUUUAUUUUCUCUUGGGUUGUUUAUUCUCAUUUUCCCUUUAGUAUCAAAGCUGAUUAAAUCAAUUAGACACUGAUGAAUUUUAUUAUGAAUUUGAUUAAUUGUAAGCGGGCAAUAUAUUAAUAUGUAUUUUUUUGGCACUCAUUUUAUUGUAACCUAUGUUUCAGGUGAUGUUGGUGGCUUUCGGGAAUUUACUAAGAGUGUUUUUUUUAUGGAUUAAUUGUUUUUCUAGUGAUGUGUUGGUGAUUGGAUAUUAUAAAGGAUUUAUGAGAUAUUGUAAAGGAUUUGAUUCACCAUAUAUUUUGUGAUGCUAUUUGUUGGAAGUUUCAAGUGAUUGAAAUUUUUAGCGCAUCACACUAUUUGGUAUUUGAUAGUUUUUAUGAAUUUGAAUGUAAUUUUUAUUUCAAUUAAUUCAAGUUUUAAAUGUGGUUUUUGUUGUUUUUAUUUCAAAA